AUGACAGAGAAGAAGUCUACUUUGUGUUUUUGCCUGUCAGUGUAACAAAAAUCCCCAGUUUGGUAAGUGAGGUGACCUUGCCUUGUACAUGAAGAAAGGAGUAAAAUAAAGCAGCACAUUAGACCACGGGCAGGACUUGGGCUAGGGCUCUAACUUCCUGCCCACUAGACUGAAACCAAAACACUGUAACAUAAACAAUUCUAAUGCGGGUUAUUAAAAAGCCUUACAAUUACCGGUCCAAAGCUCAGCCCCCUAAACGCACGUAAGUGAGAAGAUUGUGUACACGACUUCCUCGAGUGAUGAUGGUAUUGCAUAAUCAUUCAUCUUUUAUUAGAGCUACGCAAGUUUCUUUAAUUAAAGCACACGAGAUCUAUGGAAGCAUAUUAUUGCAUAUGCAUGCAGCUCAGCAAUUCUGAAGAUAAAUGCUAGUUAUACCUUACUUCCCUGCUACCUCUAUUUCUUGGAUGAAGGAGAACAGUGCUAUGUCCAUAUACAACAGCUACAUGCUGCGCCAUACAGAGAAGUGCUCACAGUGAUUUUCAGAUGAUGCAGUAAAGCAAAGAAGGAGAAUGUUUGAAGAUUUUUAUGAAGAUGGCGACUUUCUGUGUAGAACUUCAUUUAACAAGAUCUCGGUUAAGCAAUAUCACCCCAGAUAAGAUUCCCAGAAUGAGCAUGAAGAGGGCAUGGUGGCUUAGCAAUAAUGUAUCAUCAGAUUUAACAUCAGCCUGAAUGCUUAGCAACACUGUAUCAUCAGAUCUAUUGCCAGCUUGGAGGCUUAGCAACAAUGCAUCAUCAGAUCUAUUGUCAGCUUGGAGGCUUAGCAACAAUGUGUCAUCAGAGCUAUCUUCAGCUUGGAGAGAUGCUAGAGUGUGGUGAUAGGAUUGUCUUCUGGGAACCUAUGGCUCAGAACCAAUUGAGUCUUGGAGUGGUGUUAUUCAGAAUAAUCUGUGGGAGCCUAAUGCUGCAUUUUGUGUGUGGAGUAUCAGCAGCUCAUCUGU
This is a long non-coding RNA of Protopterus annectens (West African lungfish), 998 nucleotides long. RefSeq lists it as uncharacterized. The transcript is spliced from 4 exons. The record is from RefSeq and is a predicted model, not a curated record. NCBI's taxonomy places the organism in Eukaryota, Metazoa, Chordata, Ceratodontiformes, Protopteridae.